AGUGAACGCUGGCGGUAGGCCUAACACAUGCAAGUCGAACGGCAGCACAGGAGAGCUUGCUCUCUAGGUGGCGAGUGGCGGACGGGUGAGGAAUACAUCGGAAUCUGCCCAGUCGUGGGGGAUAACGUAGGGAAACUUACGCUAAUACCGCAUACGACCUUCGGGUGAAAGAGGGGGAUCGCAAGACCUCUCGCGAUUGGAUGAGCCGAUGUCGGAUUAGCUAGUUAGCGGGGUAAUGGCCCACCAAGGCGACGAUCCGUAGCUGGUCUGAGAGGAUGAUCAGCCACACUGGAACUGAGACACGGUCCAGACUCCUACGGGAGGCAGCAGUGGGGAAUAUUGGACAAUGGGCGCAAGCCUGAUCCAGCCAUACCGCGUGGGUGAAGAAGGCCUUCGGGUUGUAAGGCCCUUUUGUUGGGAAAGAAAUCUUUCAGGCUAAUACCCUGGGAGGAUGACGGUACCCAAAGAAUAAGCACCGGCUAACUUCGUG
RNAcentral lists this ribosomal RNA (490 nucleotides) under uncultured bacterium. Its description in RNAcentral is "partial 16S ribosomal RNA". It matches the Rfam family "Bacterial small subunit ribosomal RNA", at positions 29 to 507 of the family's 1533-position model. The record is from RNAcentral.